UAUACAUUGAAUCCUGACAUAAAAAAUAUGGCUGAUUUACUAUGCUGGUAUAUAGAUUUACAAAUUAGAGUGAACAUAUGGUCAGUUUUGGUCUUGGUCAAUGCGGUCAAAUUAUUUCAUUGUACAAGUCAGCAUGAAGUAUCAAAACUAUUGAAAUUUUGUUACGUAUCAAUAUUUUGAAUAUAAGGAGGACAUGCUGGCACCCUAAAUUUAUGCGAAACAAAAAUUUGUUGUUAUUGUAUUGCAAUAUUGCAAUCCAUUGUAUUAUACAUU
Molecule: long non-coding RNA, 273 nt
Filed under: Mytilus galloprovincialis (Mediterranean mussel)
Lineage: Eukaryota; Metazoa; Mollusca; Bivalvia; Mytilida; Mytilidae
Source: RNAcentral